Molecule: ribosomal RNA, 398 nt
Filed under: uncultured bacterium
Lineage: Bacteria
Description: bacterial SSU rRNA
Rfam family: Bacterial small subunit ribosomal RNA
Source: RNAcentral
AGAGUUUGAUCCUGGCUCAGAUUGAACGCUGGCGGCAUGCCUUACACAUGCAAGUCGAACGGCAGCACGGACUUCGGUCUGGUGGCGAGUGGCGAACGGGUGAGUAAUAUAUCGGAACAUACCCUAGAGUGGGGGAUAACGUAGCGAAAGUUACGCUAAUACCGCAUACGAACUAAGGUUGAAAGUGGGGGAUCGCAAGACCUCAUGCUCAUGGAGUGGCCGAUAUCUGAUUAGCUAGUUGGUGAGGUAAAGGCUCACCAAGGCGACGAUCAGUAGCUGGUUUGAGAGAACGACCAGCCACACUGGAACUGAGACACGGUCCAGACUCCUACGGGAGGCAGCAGUGGGGAAUUUUGGACAAUGGGCGCAAGCCUGAUCCAGCAAUGCCGCGUGAGUGA